This 1381-nucleotide long non-coding RNA is filed under the name Ursus americanus (American black bear). Its description in RNAcentral is "lncRNA (ENSUAMG00000024395.1)". Lineage: Eukaryota; Metazoa; Chordata; Mammalia; Carnivora; Ursidae. The record is from RNAcentral.
CCUGCUCCAAGCCAGGCUCGGUUUCGCUGACUUCAGCAGCGGCCGCCCCGCACCAUGGAGGCGGCCCCCGGCUGCGGCUCCUGAGUCGUGGCCUCCGCGGAGGGUGGAGGAGGAGAAAGAAAACCCACAAAACUCCCCAAAUGGGAGGCAGCUUGGCCGGGCAGGAGGAGGAGCGGGGCGGGCCGGGGCGUCGCUGCGGGACCUCAUCCAAGGGCGCGCGCUCCGUGCCGUCCCAAGGGCCACGGGGUUGGCCAGGCCCCCGGAGCUGUCUGCCCUAGGCCGCGGAGGGACCCCGGGUCCGCAGGGGUCGGAAGCUCCCUCCCAGGGCCGGGACAGGCGAGGAGGCGGGAGCUGGGGCCGCCCUCGACGCCUCGCCAGGCCCGUCAGGACGGCCCCGAGGGCUGGGAGAAGCCGCCGGGGCGGUUGGGCUGGACGGGCGAGUUCAGGGGCCAACCCUCCGCACCCGGGGGCCGCGGCCGAGAGCGGUGCUCCCAGGGCUGUGGUCGGGGCGGCCCGGGGCCCUGCGGCGGCCCCGCUGCGAGGGGGUGGGGCGAGCGAGCCCUGAGAAGUUCGCCGCUUUUCAGACUCGCCCAAGUUGGCGAAAGGAGGCCAGGCUGGCGCCGAAGGCCUCCGAGAGCGUGGCCGCUGGGCUGCGUCGCCCGAGUGGCUGCGCUCGGCCCAGACCCUCGCACGCCCGGCGGCCAGGCGCGGUCACACUCACGCACGCUCGCCCUCAGCACGCCCGGGGCUCGGGGGGCGCGGCGACGGAACCUCGCUCCCCGCACGCGGGUUCGGCCCGAAGGGGCGGGACGGCCUUCCCCACGCCGCCGCGGGGCCCACCCGCGCGCCGCCACCCCUCGGCCCGCUCACGCGCACCCUCGGCGGGGUCCCUCGGGGCAGCUCCCGGGGGCGCUGGGGACGGAGAGAAAGGCCACAAAGCAAAAGAAGCAGCAAAGAGAAGGCGAAGGAGGAGCGGGGGCCAGGGUCCCGUGGACUCGCCUGGAGGGGAGUGAGGGGGGACACUGAGGGGGCUGCGAAGGCUCCGGGGGUCGCGCGUGGCCUUCGGGCUCAGCCCCCGCGCGCGCGGCUCCCCGUCCCUCCCCUUCCCGGGCUCCCGGCUCCCUCUCAGGGCAGUUCCUUUCUCCUCCCCUCGGGCCCUCUCCGCUCCGGCGCGGGGCUCAGUCCUGGGGAUUAAAAGAAAGGAGGGAGGGGAAAAGGGAGGGGAAGGGAAGGGGCGGAGGAGAAAGGAGGACGAUCCCUCCAAAGGCGGGUGUUGAGUUUCAGCUCGGGACCCUCGGGCCAAACUGCACGCCCCCUCCCGGGCCCUCUCCCCGGCGCCUCUUCCUCCCGCCGUCGCGGCGGACCUCCCGUGAUCUGGUGC